GGAUCCGUGGCUCAAAGGUCGAGCAGCCGCCUCUUAAGCGGCGUGAUGCGGGUUCGAGUCCCGCCGGAUCCC
RNAcentral lists this transfer RNA (72 nucleotides) under Minicystis rosea. RNAcentral describes it as "tRNA-Lys". It matches the Rfam family "tRNA". From Rfam's summary of the family: Transfer RNA (tRNA) molecules are approximately 80 nucleotides in length. Their secondary structure includes four short double-helical elements and three loops (D, anti-codon, and T loops). The record is from RNAcentral. Lineage: Bacteria; Pseudomonadati; Myxococcota; Polyangiales; Polyangiaceae.